This is a non-coding RNA of Paramuricea clavata, 302 nucleotides long. Lineage: Eukaryota; Metazoa; Cnidaria; Anthozoa; Malacalcyonacea; Plexauridae. The record is from the annotation of a GenBank genome assembly.
CAGUGUUGAUAGAGCUCAUCAUGAUAAGUGUUUUGAGCGAUAGAAUUUGGCAUAUGUUGUAUUGCUGCCAUUUUAUCGAGGAAAUAUGCCAGGAUUUUUGGAAGAAAAUCGAACCAAAAUUUUGCAGCAAUGCUGUGCAAAAACUACAUGCAGCAUAAAAAAUUCCAUCGCUCAAAACAAUCUACUUGCUUUGUAGUCAACAAAUAGCUCUUAGUGGUAAAAUUUGAUUAAAAUGGUAAGGCUGUAUUUUUUCUCAACUAACAGUGAUUUGUAUGAGACAUACACUGUGUUUAAUUACUAGA